RNAcentral lists this long non-coding RNA (3144 nucleotides) under Triticum aestivum (bread wheat). RNAcentral describes it as "long non-coding RNA (TAES_LNC000237)". Lineage: Eukaryota; Viridiplantae; Streptophyta; Magnoliopsida; Poales; Poaceae. The record is from RNAcentral.
UGCUUUAUUAACCGUGUGCGCCGUAAUGACCUGCACAUCGUAAUUUCGCCAUAAUUUAAUUGCUGCUAUUUAAAAUUGUACCUAAUUUAAACUUGAAAGUAGGCUAUACCUUUAUUCAUAUCCAUCAGGUUCAAACAACCAAUGCAUUAUUCGAUUCACAGGUACAUAUGUUUAAGAAUUACAUAAGCACCAAAUAAAAAAUGAUGAACCAAGGUUCUAUACUUAUUACAGAUGGUAAAGAAAGAGGUGACAGACAUUUUGGUUGCUGAACAAAGUGAAGCGGAAUGGCCCUAUUAUGCUCUCCUAGAUACAGAAGGCACGCACGACUCUAGUCCAACCCCUUGUGAUGGUCGGCCGCCAAUCAUGUAGUUUGAAAGAUAAUCUUGAUUAAACCGCUUCAGGAUCCACUACAAAGGAAAAAAAAUUCAGACAUUGUCAUCUAACACAACUCAUUACGGACAGUAAAAAAAGGCUAGAGGGUUCUUACUUACCAUCCUACAGUUCACCCUUUGUCUUGCAUAAAGUGUAAACAAAUAGUUCGAUUGACAUCUUUUGACCCAUUUUAAUAACAAUCUUUAUCAGUUUCCUUACUUGAUGCUGGUUCAUGAAUAUCUCAUUGCCCCAUACGCGGAAAGGAUUGGAGUGUGGAUCUUUAGCAAUGACAUAUGUACCUAAAAGCACCAAGUUAAUAUUACACUACUAGGAAAAAGCUACUAGCAGCGCGAGUACCCGCGCUACUAGUAUCACGCUACAGCUAAUAGUUAGUAGUAGCGUUGGUGCACCCACGCUACAGCUAAUAGUUAGUAGUAGCAUGUGUGCCACCCGCGCUACUGCUAUUACGGACCCGCGCUACUACUAACGAAAUAGUAGUAGCGUGUCUAUAAUACCAACGCUACUAGUAUCCUAAAUACUAGUAGCACACAGUUUUUUUCCACGCUACUACUAACUUAUUAGAAAUUAAAAAAAUCAACCAAUUCCGUUUUGUGCAUACAAUUCCAGGAAAACACAAUAGUGACCACUGUUGGGCUCCUAUUUCAUGGUUAACCGGACACCGAAGGCAAUAAAUGAGGCAAAAACCAUCAUUAUGCAUUGCUACUCACGAAUGACCACUUCAAAGAACAUGCAAGUAUGUAUGUCAUUAACAAUUGCAAACAAAAGUUUCUCUUUACUACGGUUGUUGUAUCUACUAUCACAGUUUCUCAUUCUACCUGUUGUCACUCCAAUAAUAAGAAAAAUGAAAAGAAAAAAUAGAGAUAAUCUGCCGCAAUUGCACUUCGGUGUCAUGGAUUCAGUCUGCCGCUUCAACAUCUCAUUAUCCUACAGCAAUGGAAAUUUGCCCCAAAAUUACCUUGUGCAACUCUUCAAAUCUCUUCGUUCAAGUAGACAGUGAGGUCUUAACCUACAAACAAAGAUUGUCCCAUAAGAAUUGCAGACGUCAAUCAUGGGAGAAUAUAAGAGUGUACAAGGACAUAUACAGAAAAUGGAACCAACCUUUAAAUGUUCAUCUUGUAGUUCCCUAUUUUUGGCCAAUUCCGUGUCAUGUUGUGCCCACCCGUGAUAGCCUCGAGGUAAGAUCUCUGCACAAACCUUCCCACUCUGGCGCUAUCUUCUACCUAUGAAUGAAAACAUAACUGACAUGUCUGAGAAGCAAAUGUGAAAGCUGAUUACAACAUGUAUGCUAAGUUGCUAACCCAUAUAGACUAGACCAAAUUUGAAAGCUUCCCAUGUAGCCGAUGAAGUAUAUGAGCACCCCUCAAAACAUCAAUUAGCAAGUACUUGACACAAACAAACUUGUACAGAAAAAAAUAAUACUUCCGAAUUUAAUAGGCAAGCUCAUCGACAAGGCAGGUGAAGAUGAGCAGCUCAUAGAUUUUGUUGCCAGAAGGGUAAUAGUUUGUACUCCUACUAGCUUCGAAACUACUUCACGUACUAGCUUUGGCCAUAACAUAUAUCAAAAUUCAAAGCAGACAUAAGUCUGUCAACUAUGUUGAUUAAUGUGCAAUGAAGCAGAUCAUACUAGUACAAGCAAAUCAAGGAUCUUUUAUAUGGAGGAAAAAAACAGAUUUAUACAUCUCAAUGUAAUUUCAGGGCGAAUCGUCAGCACUUGAUUUGGCAACCUGAAAUGAAUAGGCAACAGGCUCCUACAGAGAACCAAAUCGUGGGGUUCAGGAAAGAAAUAAUGGUACCGGCUGGAGGCAGAGAAAAGGAGCUCCUCCAUAUUGUUUUUCUUCUAGUCUUACAUCUACGUAUAAAGCUAUGCCUUUGAUGGUCACUUAGUUAUGAGCCUGGUAUGGAUCAGAAUGCUACUCUUUUCUGCAAGAAACUGCACUUCUUGUUUGUUGCUCAUGCUCUAAAGACCACAUGGCCGAUCGACACAACGAACUGGAAUACAGCCUUCGCUACUCUAACGAUCGCGCGGCACCAUAGAGAAGGAAUGCAGCGUGGUAGGGGAGUCGGAUUACCUUGAGGAUGCCGAGCUUCACGGAGCUGUAGACGACACCGACGCCGAAGGCGGAGAUCCUAGCCACCUGCAAAGCAACAUCCAUCAUGAGGACAAGAAACCUGACCGUCAGCCAGUCAGUCAGCCAAAUCUAAUCUGCGAGGCCGCGGAUGAAUCAACAACAUCCAUCGCGAGGACAAAAAACUUAUCCACUCUGGAAAAUCAGAAUGACUAGAGACAAUGUGACACACUCAAAUCCAUGUGCAUUCCUCCAAACUUAACUGAAUGAACAGAGCAUAGUUUUCACUUUUCAGUAUAUCAUCCAAAGAUACUACCAAACUGUGUAGUCCGUUAGUAAAAUCACUGAAACCUCUUUCCUGCUUUCAACAAAGGGCCCAACUGAUGUCUGAAGCUAUUGUACUUGACAGACAUAGUUUGUAGCUAAAGAUGACAAACAUGGAAGCACCGUGCACACAUCAGUUAGAUAAACAAGAAUGUGCAGGCGCAUGUACCACAUGGUUAGAAAAAAAUGUUUAAAUCCGGGAAGAGAGAGGCCUAAUAAUGUGCAGGAGGAGAGAGGUGGGCAUGGCCGGGAAGAAGCCAGCGGCGCUGAGCACUGCGCCUUCCGAGGGCGAGGAGAGCGCCGUCGUCCCCAGCUCCACUACCAAGCGCGGGCCCGGUAGACCUAAGAAGGACCCGUCCCU